UACGUAGGGGGCAAGCGUUGUCCGGAUUUAUUGGGCGUAAAGAGCGUGUAGGCGGCCAUACAGGUCAGCUGUGAAAACUCGAGGCUCAACCUCGAGACGUCGGUUGAAACCGUAUGGCUAGAGUCCGGAAGAGGAGAGUGGAAUUCCCGGUGUAGCGGUGAAAUGCGCAGAUAUCGGGAAGAACACUCGUGGCGAAGGCGGCUCUCUGGGACGGUACUGACGCUGAGACGCGAAAGCGUGGGGAGCGAACAGGG
Molecule: ribosomal RNA, 254 nt
Filed under: uncultured bacterium
Lineage: Bacteria
Description: partial 16S ribosomal RNA
Rfam family: Bacterial small subunit ribosomal RNA
Source: RNAcentral